Molecule: ribosomal RNA, 253 nt
Filed under: uncultured bacterium
Lineage: Bacteria
Description: partial 16S ribosomal RNA
Rfam family: Bacterial small subunit ribosomal RNA
Source: RNAcentral
UACAGAGGUCCCAAGCGUUGUUCGGAUUCACUGGGCGUAAAGGGUGCGUAGGUGGCGGGGUAAGUCGGAUGUGAAAUCUCGGAGCUCAACUCCGAAACUGCAUUGGAAACUACCUUGCUUGAGGGUUGGAGGGGGGACUGGAAUACUUGGUGUAGCAGUGAAAUGCGUAGAUAUCAAGUGGAACACCAGUGGCGAAGGCGAGUCCCUGGACAGUUCCUGACACUGAGGCACGAAGGCCAGGGGAGCAAACAGG